RNAcentral lists this long non-coding RNA (815 nucleotides) under Setaria viridis. Its description in RNAcentral is "long non-coding RNA (SVIR_LNC007760)". The record is from RNAcentral. Lineage: Eukaryota; Viridiplantae; Streptophyta; Magnoliopsida; Poales; Poaceae.
GUAAACGGAACUUACAGAAUCGGCCGGAGAUCGUGUCGAUGCAGCACUGCCAACCCGUACGAACUCGUGAAAGAAGAAAAUUAUUGGCGAAGUCGCCGACUUGAAAGUAAUGUACGAGGAAAAAGUAGAUUUGUAUUGAUUGAUGUGUUGUUUACAAAUCUCUAAAGAUGGCUAUUUAUAGCCUAUUACAACUAAUUUCCUAACCGACUAGGGUCUAUCUCUAAUUUUAAACGAAAACGAAUAUUUACAAGCACAACUCGCAUCGGAGUUGGUUAUUGUACUCCCACGGGCCAAUCUUUCUCUAUCCUUUUUCUCUGAUCCAUUUUAAGCCCAUAUUGGCCCAAUCGCUCCAGCCUUCCAAUCGGCCGAUCUCCAUCCGCCAAAACACUGUAGCGCCAAUCGGCCGAUUCUCAGCUGUAGCACCAAUCGGUCGAUUCCCAGUCGUGACCUUUUAAUCUGCCACAACGGCCAAUCUUUUCUCCCCUUGACGCCGAUUCCAUAUGUGUCAAAAUCUGGCAUCAACACAUGCCCCCAAGUUUCGGAGUAAAACAUAACUUUUACUUCGAAAUUCUUUUUAAACUUCUCCUCCGAAACAACACAUCAAAAAUCUCCUUCCGUUUCGCGGUCUCCUACCUGAUGAUUGCAAUCUUUUCGAAACGGGUGUCUGAGACAACCGCUCCCCCAAAAUUCGUGUAGAUGGCACGGUAAAAAUCCUGCCUUUACCCCUCUCGAACCGUCUUUAAAUACUGGCAUGCCCGGCACUUCUUCUUCACAAGUUAGUAACUUCCUUUACGGCGCAUUAGCUUCCAUCUUCU